GCAAAUCCAUGCGCGAAUCAAAUGUGUGCUAGGAUCAAGUCUCACACACAUGAUUACUCAUGGUACAAAAACGAAUGCCACAUCUUUAAUAUAUAACAGAGUUCUAUAUAAAAUAGUUAAAUAAUUACAUCAUACGGAGACAACGAUCUAGUAACCAUAGUUGACUGGGAGACGGCGACCUAGACCUCUCACAAACUCAUCGCGACAUCCUUCAUGCUCCUUAUCCUGCGGUACCUGUUCUUGACCUAGGGGGAUGUGAGUACAACAAGUGUGAGCUCACAUACAUUCAUCGCUCAACAAGUUUUGGGGAAUAAUGUGCAUGCGCUCACUUACAGUGGGGCUCAUGUGAAGUGUAAGGCUUACUAAAGGAGAUGGUUAAAGCUGAGCAUCACUUUUAAAGUUGGUCAAAGUUUUAUUAGCAGUUACUAAGUGUAACUAAAUACCAACCCUAAAUAAAUAAUAGAUCACAAUUGAUAAUAACACCCACAAUGCAAUGCAUAUGACAAAUUAAGUUUAAUUCCAUAAUUUAAUCAUGUGAGUGUCUGAAUCGCUCAUGACCAUGAGCACGGCUAAUAUACCAGUUUUACAAUCUACAGAGGUUGCACAUCUUUACCCCAAAAGUCAUGUUACCCAUUUGCCAAGGGAUCAUGACUUCUCAUUCAUCUCUUCCGAGGAGACGAGGUAGGGUAGCACUACGAGGACUUUACAAAGUUCCACUAGCUCCAGAAAACCCGCUACGGUUUCUGAGAAGGGCAAUAUAGGAAUCCCUCGUUCGAAAAGCCAUCAGAACAUGAUCGACCCAAGAACCUCCCUAUACGCAGCUCCUCUACUGCCCUUGCCCCUUUCAGGUAAGGUGGUCCUCUAGGUUUCCUAAUUAGUCAGCCAAGGGCAUCCCAUACCACCCUUGUGGUAGCACUAUUUUCUCGGGUGGUUCUCCAUGUUCCAAUUAACAUAAUAAUCGUAUCAUGAACAAUAAUUAAAAUAUCAACAACAUUGGAACAUGAUCAUGAUAUAACAUUAAUUUACCAAAACCAGGUAGAGCAAUAGCAAAUCUACCCAAUAGUUCUCUUAUUUGUAAGGUGUGGGAUAAACAAUACUAGGGAAACCUAUCGGGUCCAAUCAAAUUAACCUGAGCAUGUCAUAGUGAUUAACAGGAACAUUAUUAGGUAAAGAAAAGUGAUCAAGGGCACAACUUGCCUUAGACUCGAGAUUCCCAGGUACUUCACCAACCUUGCUGCUACUCGUAGCAAUACAUACAAAUAGACAAGAAGUACAUAAAAAUAAUAGUGCACCAAACAUGAGAACGAACAUCAUAAGAAUAUUCUACGUGUCGUAACAAGAUUGUAGGUUUGAGAAUCACUAAAUUCGGAGUUAUGGUUGAAGAAUUAUGAUUUUCCGAAGGUUUAGGUGUUUACUAUAAAACAAUUGAGGUACAAGAUUUUAGCCAUAGGUUUCAUAUUAUUACAAGGUUACUAGAUGAUAAACAAUAUUAAUAUGAGAUUAAUGCAACUGGAACGGAUUAAAAAGGAGUUAAAAUGAAUUACUUAUGAAUUAAACAAGUGUCUGGAAUUAUUUUUAUACUACGAAUCAUUUUCUAUUUUAAUUUAUCUCAUUUUAUUUACUAUCUGGACUGCGGGCACUAUUCUUGAGAAGCUCAGGGUCUGUUUUGUUAAUUCCAGGGCCUGACAGUGAUGAUCUUUCUAUAGCUCAGGACUGCGGGUUGAUAAACCAAACAUACAGAGUCUCUUUUGCAAAUAUCUAUGGCCGAAGGGGUAUGGAGGAUUCUGAGCCGCAUGAUCUAACAUCGGUGGCCUAGAUUAGACUUAACCCUAUAUGACCCGGUAUGCAAUCUCUCCCACACGACUUGGAAGAGACGACCCUGAUUCUAUUUGGUUGGAUUCGAUCUCACCCGUGCACCCAUGAUCCAACGAUCCCGGUUUACUAACCUAAAUCGUUAUACUCUCCUGUUAAUCCACUCCCUUCAUCGGUCGAUCGACAGCCCCAGUUUUUCUUCUUCCUCAACGCCUAGUCACAUUGGUGGCCUCCACACCGCGACCGCCAUUACCGGUGUGCAGCUUCCGCCACCUAAGUGCCCCGCUAACAGUUCGACUAGAUGCUACUUAAGAUAGAGGGCAAGACGAACAACAUGGAGACACUCACCGGUGACCGAAACCGCGGCGACAUUGACCCCGACCCAAAGCGGCUUGCCAACGAAUUCUAGACUCCAGUACACUUCGGCGAGCACUGAUGCACCCAUCCGAGCAUAGGCAAGAUCCGCCAAGAUCCUUCGUGAGCCGGUGGACGUCUCGAGUCUCCACAUAGGCACCGAACGAUGGAGGAAGUAGGGGCGACGGCGGCGGCAAUCCCUCACCAAUGGAGGUGGCGCUCCGGUUGUCUUUCUUGGCACUAGAGUCGAGCGCAUGAAAGGUGGGAGGUGAAGGAUAUGUG
This 2448-nucleotide long non-coding RNA is filed under the name Zea mays. RNAcentral's name for it is "long non-coding RNA (ZMAY_LNC004394)". Lineage: Eukaryota; Viridiplantae; Streptophyta; Magnoliopsida; Poales; Poaceae. The record is from RNAcentral.